GACGAACGCUGGCGGCGUGCUUAACACAUGCAAGUCGAGCGGUAAGGCCCUUUCGGGGUACGACGAGCGGCGAACGGGUAGGAGUAACAACGUGGGUGGACCUCGCCCUUACGUCUCUGGGAGUAAAGACCUCGGGAAACGUAGGGUCGUAAUAACCGGAGUAUGACUCCAUGACGCAUGUUGUGGGGUGGGAAAGACCUUGUGCGGC
RNAcentral lists this ribosomal RNA (208 nucleotides) under uncultured bacterium. Its description in RNAcentral is "partial 16S ribosomal RNA". The record is from RNAcentral.